This 305-nucleotide ribosomal RNA is filed under the name uncultured bacterium. Its description in RNAcentral is "partial 16S ribosomal RNA". It matches the Rfam family "Bacterial small subunit ribosomal RNA", at positions 336 to 658 of the family's 1533-position model. The record is from RNAcentral.
UUCCUACGGGACGCAGCAGUGGGGAAUAUUGCACAAUGGGGGGAACCCUGAUGCAGCGACGCCGCGUGAGUGAAGAAGUAUUUCGGUAUGUAAAGCUCUAUCAGCAGGGAAGAUAAUGACGGUACCUGACUAAGAAGCCCCGGCUAACUACGUGCCAGCAGCCGCGGUAAUACGUAGGGGGCAAGCGUUAUCCGGAUUUACUGGGUGUAAAGGGUGCGUAGACGGCAGCACAAGUCUGGAGUGAAAUCCCGGGGCUUAACCCCGGAACUGCUUUGGAAACUGUGCGGCUGGAGUGCAGGGGGGGG